AUCAUGCUACUGAUCUUUGACUUGACAGCUUCCGUUAUAGUAUCAAGUUCGUAGAGCGCUUCCAAUCCACUAAAAUUCCCCAAUGUUGUCACAUAACCGACGCCACGACAGUUCUCGUUCAUUUCAACCUUCACCGAGUAUUGCUGCGUCCCCCGUUCACAUCUCCGUCCGAUGCGGCAAGAACGAGCUCAAGCAGCCAGUCAGCCCAAUCAGGCUACCGGGCUGCAGGACGAGCAUUCGCAUUUACAGCCACAUCUGGAGACCAUGGUAGAAUCGAGGCACUUAAUAUAUCAGCAUUUCCAGCAAAAAUGCCUCCCCGCGUCGUUCCGGAGGGAAGAGGGAACGUCCAUUUUUCACGGGAAUCUACGGGAUGAAAGCAUGGACGUUUGCUUUUGAAGACAGGGUCCAGGAGAUGGGGCUUUUGCUGUUUAUGUUCCCACAUCCCCAUUGAUUUUGCCCUUCGUUUUGUGUGCUUUCUUUUACAUACGUGUAUCAGUCUUUGGAGUCCGAAAAGUGGAGCAAAUUGCUGCUUUCCGGGCCUCCGUGGGCUAAAGGGGGUAUUACUCAGCGGAACGAUCCCCCGGACACUGAGUCAUUUUGGUUAAAGGUUAUUGGUGAUGUCCCGUAGCGUGCGGCGGAGAUGCCUCGUUGUAUGAGUGUUCCAGUGGUUUGUCAAGGGAAAUGGGAUUACGAAAGGAAGGGGAGCAAUCAAUAUGAACUUGAUGGUGGACUUCCUGAUACCAUAACUAUAUGGCGGGAUAAUGGUGAUGCAUGUUGCUUCCCGAUCACCUUUCGUUAGUUUACAGCAUGCACCGCUAGGCAAAAGAAAAUAAUAUUGAAGUAUUUUAUUA
This is a long non-coding RNA of Ornithodoros turicata, 851 nucleotides long. RefSeq lists it as uncharacterized. NCBI's taxonomy places the organism in Eukaryota, Metazoa, Arthropoda, Arachnida, Ixodida, Argasidae. The transcript is spliced from 3 exons. The record is from RefSeq and is a predicted model, not a curated record.